GCAUGBYCUUCUGGGAAAGCUUUYGCGGUAUGGGAUGGGGUCGCGUCCUAUCAGCUUGAYGGCGGGGUAACGGCCCACCAUGGCUUCGACGGGUAGCCGGCCUGAGAGGGCGACCGGCCACAUUSGGASUGAGAUACGGCCCAGACUCCUACGGGAGGCAGCAGUGGGGAAUAUUGCACAAUGGGCGCAAGCCUGAUGCAGCGACGCCGCUUGCGGGAUGACGGCCUUCGGGUUGUAAACCGCUUUUGACUGGGAGCAAGCCCUUCGGGGUGAGUGUACCUUUCGAAUAAGCACCGGCUAACUACGUGCCAGCAGCCGCGGUAAUACGUAGGGUGCAAGCGUUAUCCGGAAUUAUUGGGCGUAAAGGGCUCGUAGGCGGUUCGUCGCGUCCGGUGUGAAAGUCCAUCGCUUAACGGUGGAUCCGCGCCGGGUACGG
RNAcentral lists this ribosomal RNA (436 nucleotides) under uncultured Bifidobacterium sp. Its description in RNAcentral is "bacterial SSU rRNA". It matches the Rfam family "Bacterial small subunit ribosomal RNA", at positions 188 to 635 of the family's 1533-position model. The record is from RNAcentral. Lineage: Bacteria; Bacillati; Actinomycetota; Actinomycetes; Bifidobacteriales; Bifidobacteriaceae.